CCUACGGGUGGCAGCAGUGGGGAAUAUUGCACAAUGGGGGAAACCCUGAUGCAGCAACGCCGCGUGAGUGAAGAAGGCUUUCGGUAUGUAAAGCUCUAUCAGUAGGGAAGUAGAUGCCGGUACCCGAUUAAGUAUCCCCGGAUAACUCCGUGCCAGCAGCCGCGGUCAUACGUAGGGGGCAAGCGUUAUCCGGAUUUACUGGGUGUAAAGGGAGCGUAGACGGGAUAGCAAGUCUGAAGUGAAAGCCCAAGGCUCAACCAUGGGACUGCUUUGGAGACUGUUAAGUUAGAGGGCUGUGGAGGUAGGCGGAAUUCCUGGUGUAGCGGUGAAAUGCGUAGAUAUUAGGAAGAACACCAGUGGCGAAGGCGGCUUACUGGGCUGUAACUGACGUUGAGGCUCGAAAGCGUGGGGAGCAAACAGGAUUAGAUACCCUUGUAGUC
This 440-nucleotide ribosomal RNA is filed under the name uncultured bacterium. RNAcentral describes it as "partial 16S ribosomal RNA". It matches the Rfam family "Bacterial small subunit ribosomal RNA", at positions 338 to 795 of the family's 1533-position model. The record is from RNAcentral.